GAUGAACGCUGGCGGCGUGCCUAAUACAUGCAAGUCGAGCGAACAGACGAGGAGCUUGCUCCUCUGACGUUAGCGGCGGACGGGUGAGUAACACGUGGAUAACCUACCUAUAAGACUGGGAUAACUUCGGGAAACCGGAGCUAAUACCGGAUAAUAUAUUGAACCGCAUGGUUCAAUAGUGAAAGACGGUUUUGCUGUCACUUAUAGAUGGAUCCGCGCCGCAUUAGCUAGUUGGUAAGGUAACGGCUUACCAGGGCAACGAUGCGUAGCCGACCUGAGAGGGUGAUCGGCCACACUGGAACUGAGACACGGUCCAGACUCCUACGGGAGGCAGCAGUAGGGAAUCUUCCGCAAUGGGCGAAAGCCUGACGGAGCAACGCCGCGUGAGUGAUGAAGGUCUUCGGAUCGUAAAACUCCGUUAUUAGGGAAGAACAAAUGUGUAAGUAACUAUGCACGUCUUGACGGUACCUAAUCAGAAAGCCACGGCUAACUACGUG
This 497-nucleotide ribosomal RNA is filed under the name uncultured bacterium. RNAcentral's name for it is "partial 16S ribosomal RNA". It matches the Rfam family "Bacterial small subunit ribosomal RNA", at positions 28 to 507 of the family's 1533-position model. The record is from RNAcentral.